RNAcentral lists this ribosomal RNA (477 nucleotides) under uncultured Bacteroidota bacterium. RNAcentral describes it as "bacterial SSU rRNA". It matches the Rfam family "Bacterial small subunit ribosomal RNA", at positions 28 to 505 of the family's 1533-position model. The record is from RNAcentral. Lineage: Bacteria; Pseudomonadati; Bacteroidota.
GAUGAACGCUAGCGGCAGGCCUAAUACAUGCAAGUCGAGCGGUAAGGCUCCUUCGGGAGUACACGAGCGGCGGACGGGUGCGUAACGCGUAUACAACCUACCCUUCAGUGGGGGAUAGCCUGAAGAAAUUCAGAUUAAUACCCUAUGGUAUCAUUGAAUCGCAUGGUUUGAUGAUUAAAACUCCGGUGUUGAAGGAUGGGUAUGCGUGACAUUAGCUAGUUGGUGAGGUAACGGCUCACCAAGGCGACGAUGUCUAGCUGGUCUGAGAGGAUGAUCAGCCACACUGGGACUGAGACACGGCCCAGACUCCUACGGGAGGCAGCAGUAGGGAAUAUUGGACAAUGGACGAAAGUCUGAUCCAGCCAUGCCGCGUGAAGGAAGACGGUUCUCUGAAUUGUAAACUUCUUUUAGCAGGGAAUAAGCCGAUGGUAUACCCAUCGUUGAAGGUACCUGCAGAAUAAGCACCGGCUAACUCCG